UAGUUCAGUUGGUUAGAAUGCCUGCCUGUCACGCAGGAGGUCGCGGGUUCGAGUCCC
RNAcentral lists this transfer RNA (57 nucleotides) under Bacillus subtilis. RNAcentral's name for it is "tRNA-Asp". It matches the Rfam family "tRNA", at positions 8 to 61 of the family's 71-position model. From Rfam's summary of the family: Transfer RNA (tRNA) molecules are approximately 80 nucleotides in length. Their secondary structure includes four short double-helical elements and three loops (D, anti-codon, and T loops). The record is from RNAcentral. Lineage: Bacteria; Bacillati; Bacillota; Bacilli; Caryophanales; Bacillaceae.